This 214-nucleotide long non-coding RNA is filed under the name Lathyrus oleraceus (garden pea). Its description in RNAcentral is "Pisum sativum (pea) long non-coding RNA (PSAT_LNC028798)". The record is from RNAcentral. Lineage: Eukaryota; Viridiplantae; Streptophyta; Magnoliopsida; Fabales; Fabaceae.
GUUUCUCAAACCCAUUGAACAUAAUGAUCCAACACCAUCUCCCAAUUUUGAAUCCUUGUAUUCGAAGUAGAAGAAGAUGAUGUUGAAGGGAUUCCUGACGAGAUUUCCCGACUUCUCGAGCAAGAAAAGAAGAUCACUCAGCUGUAUCUCAAGAAUCAGCAGAACAGCCAACUGGGGCAUCAAAAAUAAAAAAAAAAGAAGAAAAAAAAAGGAA